This 1139-nucleotide ribosomal RNA is filed under the name 'Brassica juncea' phytoplasma. Its description in RNAcentral is "bacterial SSU rRNA". It matches the Rfam family "Bacterial small subunit ribosomal RNA", at positions 224 to 1369 of the family's 1533-position model. The record is from RNAcentral. Lineage: Bacteria; Bacillati; Mycoplasmatota; Mollicutes; Acholeplasmatales; Acholeplasmataceae.
GAGGGGCUUUAGCCGCCUUUAAUAGUUGAAAAAGUAAAAGCCUACCAAGACGAUGAUGUGUAGCUGGACUGAGAGGUUGAACAGCCACAUUGGGACUGAGACACGGCCCAAACUCCUACGGGAGGCAGCAGUAGGGAAUUUUCGGCAAUGGAGGAAACUCUGACCGAGCAACGCCGCGUGAACGAUGAAGUAUUUCGGUAUGUAAAGUUCUUUUAUUGAAGAAGAAAAAGUAGUGGAAAAACUAUAUUGACGUUAUUCAAUGAAUAAGCCCCGGCUAACUAUGUGCCAGCACCCGCGGUAAGACAUAGGGGGCGAGCGUUAUCCGGAAUUAUUGGGCGUAAAGGGUGCGUAGGCUGUUAGAUAAGUCUAUAAUUUAAUUUCAGUGCUUAACGCUGUCUUGUUAUAGAAACUGUCUUGACUAGAGUGAGAUAGAGGCAAGCGGAAUUCCAUGUGUAGCGGUAAAAUGUGUAAAUAUAUGGAGGAACACCAGAAGCGUAGGCGGCUUGCUGGGUCUUUACUGACGCUGAGGCACGAAAGCGUGGGUAGCAAACAGGAUUAGAUACCCUGGUAGUCCACGCCGUAAACGAUGAGUACUAAGUGUCGGGGUAAAACUCGGUACUGAAGUUAACACAUUAAGUACUCCGCCUGAGUAGUACGUACGCAAGUAUGAAACUUAAAGGAAUUGACGGGACUCCGCACAAGCGGUGGAUCAUGUUGUUUAAUUCGAAGAUACACGAAAAAUCUUACCAGGUCUUGACAUACUCUGCAAAGCUAUAGAAAUAUAGUGGAGGUUAUCAGGGAUACAGGUGGUGCAUGGUUGUCGUCAGUUCGUGUCGUGAGAUGUUAGGUUAAGUCCUAAAACGAACGCAACCCUUGUCGUUAAUUGCCAGCACAUAAUGGUGGGGACUUUAACGAGACUGCCAAUUAAACAUUGGAGGAAGGUGAGGAUUACGUCAAAUCAUCAUGCCCCUUAUGAUCUGGGCUACAAACGUGAUACAAUGGCUGUGACAAAGAGUAGCUGAAACGCGAGUUUUUAGCCAAUCUCAAAAAAGCAGUCUCAGUUCGGAUUGAAGUCUGUAACUCGACUUCAUGAAGUUGGAAUCGCUAGUAAUCGCGAAUCAGCAUGUCGCGGUGAAUAC